GGUCAAGCGAAUAAGCGCACACGGUGGAUGCCUAGGCGGUCAGAGGCGAUGAAGGACGUGGUAGCCUGCGAAAAGUGUCGGGGAGCUGGCAACAAGCUUUGAUCCGGCAAUAUCCGAAUGGGGAAACCCACUGCUUCGGCAGUAUCCUGCAGUGAAUUCAUAGCUGCUGGAAGCGAACCCGGUGAACUGAAAUAUCUAAGUAACCGGAGGAAAAGAAAUCAACCGAGAUUCCCUAAGUAGUGACGAGCGAACGGGGAGCAGCCCUUAAGCUGGAAUGGCUUUAGAAAAACAAUCUGGAAAGAUUGGCCAUAGAAGGUGAUAGCCCUGUAUUUAAAAGGGCCACUCCAGUGAAGACGAGUAGGGCGGGGCACGUGAAACCCUGUCUGAAUAUGGGGGGACCAUCCUCC
RNAcentral lists this ribosomal RNA (407 nucleotides) under Xanthomonas arboricola pv. pruni. Its description in RNAcentral is "bacterial LSU rRNA". It matches the Rfam family "Bacterial large subunit ribosomal RNA", at positions 1 to 461 of the family's 2925-position model. The record is from RNAcentral. Lineage: Bacteria; Pseudomonadati; Pseudomonadota; Gammaproteobacteria; Lysobacterales; Lysobacteraceae.